CAGUUUCUGAAGUACUCGCCAGUUUAUGGCAUACCUGAGCUGAUAAUUUACUUUAGGGUUGCAUGCUAAUUGUUUGUUGUGUAUGCCUGCAUCGGUAUGAUGUAUCAGGAAACCUUAAAAAUAAUUGUGCGAUCCGCCUUUGAACAUGACAGUUCAUGGGUUCACAUAGACAGCGGUACUUUGGUUUUUGC
This 191-nucleotide non-coding RNA is filed under the name Moraxella macacae 0408225. RNAcentral describes it as "6S / SsrS RNA". It matches the Rfam family "6S / SsrS RNA". Rfam says of the family: E. coli 6S RNA was the first non coding RNA to be sequenced, but its function was unknown until recently. It consists of 184 nucleotides that fold into an extended hairpin structure with a large single-stranded internal bulge. The 6S RNA specifically associates with RNA polymerase holoenzyme containing the sigma70 specificity factor. The record is from Rfam by way of RNAcentral. Lineage: Bacteria; Pseudomonadati; Pseudomonadota; Gammaproteobacteria; Moraxellales; Moraxellaceae.